Long non-coding RNA from Pezoporus flaviventris, 2651 nucleotides. RefSeq lists it as uncharacterized. The record is from RefSeq and is a predicted model, not a curated record. Lineage: Eukaryota; Metazoa; Chordata; Aves; Psittaciformes; Psittacidae. The transcript has 2 exons.
AAUCCAAACCAACAAUUUUAAAAGUCCAAGUGUAUGUGACAUGGUGGAAACCAGUUUCUUUAAAUAGAGCUUAAUAACCACCCUCAGAGUUUCUGCAUAAUGAUGCUCACUCCAGAAGUGUAUACUGCUUCCAAAUGGAACAUACAAACAUUUGAAUCACCAUUUAUUUCCAGAAGAGGUACUGCCUGAGUAGUUAUCAGUCUCUUUCGGUGCCACAUGCAGUCCAAGCAGAGCUGGGAGCUGCUCCUACUUUUGCCUCCAUAUAGGAGAAAGCAGCAGGGCUGGAGGUACACCUUCUCCUGUAAAUGUUCCUGGUGCUGCUUUGUUGCAUGUUUAAUGUGACACAUGAGCAAAUAAAUGCUGGGGAAUCCUUAAGCAGUUCAAGGUAGCAAGGCUCACAAACAGAAAGACAGUAGACAUUACAUGUCACAACCUUAGUAAACUGCACAUAUUGUUUCACAUUACACUACAGACAAACUCUGUUUGGUUUUUUUUUACGUCCAGAGCAUGCUUGUCUAAAGUGAGUAUUCUUUUUAAGAUAACCCACCUGGAGAGCCAUAAAAAUGUAAUAAGCAAUGCUAGGUCUGUAGUCUUAAGGGAUACAGAAGUAAUGAAAUUACCAAUUAAUACUGGAAUGUGUUAACCUAGUAUACACAUCACAGUUAAAUAAUCUUCCUGUACCUGAGCUGAAUGAUAAAGAAUGACUUCUUUUUAUUCUACCUCUACAGAAUUAUAUGACUCACUCUCUUUGCAGCAAGAAAUGGCUUCCCUAUAAGACAUAGCAGAAAAUCACAUUUCUGAUUAGCGUUAUAUCAGAAUAAAUCUAGACAUACACCCUUGAAGUCCUUAGUAUUAUCCCAAGUUUACAUUAGCCCAAGUAAGUUGCCAGUAUGACAACUCCAGAUGAGUUUACAAACACAACCUAUAAAUGAAAAAUAUGAUUUCUAAGAGAGUCAUGAGCCAAGAAGGUGACAAAUACCAAGAUUUCAGAUUAUCUGAAGCAAAAAGAUACAUAUUUCAAUUGGUAAGAUUUUUAGAUUAAAUAUCAGGAAAAAACCCACACAGCUUCAUUACGAGAGUAGUCGAACACUGUAACAUGCUGCUCAGUGAGGCUGUGAAAUCUCCAUCUCCAUUCUUGGAAAUACUUGUUUCUUCACUGAAUGAAGCCCUGAAGCAAUGUAACUUGGCCACAUUCUGAGUAGGGCAUUGGAUCAGAUGACCUCCAAAACUCUCAAGACGUGUAUUAUUCCUAAAUUCAUACACCUCUAUCCAAGAAUACAAAAAUCUGAGUCAGUGUUUGCUAUGUGUGCAAGUUCAGUGCAAGGAUUCUAGAAAAUAGGUAUGGAAAGUACACUUUCCAUAUUGAAAUUGCCUUUACACUGCCUCUCCUAGGGAGCAGCAGAAUCUUGUCAUAAAGCAUGAUUCAGGUGCACUGAAGUAACAUGUUUCAUGACUUCCAGAUUAGAAAGAUUAAAAAAAAACACAGGAUCUGGUUUAUUUUGAUAUGUCCACAGCUUUCUCUUAGCCUUACAAGAAUUUUAGCUUCAGUGCUUAAGGUUUUCAAAGCUGUAAAUAUAGAGCAAAAGCCCACACACAUUAAUGCCCUCGAUACAAUUUCUGUGGAUGCUGGGGCACAGAAUCAGCCCUGGAGAUACAUUUUCACAGUCAUUUUAUCAAGUAUUGUUUCCAAUUAUAAUGAAUUUACAUAUUCUAUGCAAAACAAAAACAUGCUACAUUUAUCCAUGUUUAUCUAUAGUAAUAAAAGUAUUUUAAAAAUUAACGGAGAAGCCACAGAACAUGAAGAUGGUAAGUCCCUAUAAUGUAGCUUACCCAAUACUACUACCAUUUCUUUAAUUUGAUCUAAAUAACAAUGAUGCUAAGUGAACCACAAGUUACAGAGUUCACCCAUAUAUUUCCAGGCUUUCAAAAUUAAUUGGAUGACAAAUGAUUGCAUUAUUGAGCUCUAAUGGCUUAAAAAAGCAUGUAAUAGAUCAGCUGCAAAACCAAAGACAUCUUACCAUGGUACUGCUUGAAUUGAUUCAAUAGCUACUUCUGAAAAGUAAACACACAACAGCUGUUUCACAUUUUUGUUCACCUGAUGCAAAUUUUGAUCCUCAACCCUAAGAUUCUUUUAAGUUGAAGCUGUGUGGUGAUCUUUUACAAAGUUCCACUUCAAGUGUGCAACUACUGAAUUGCUCAACCCCAUGCUUACUUAGAUUUCCCUCAGUAAGUAACAAGUAUUUUAAAGUAAGUAUUGUUUUAAAAGUUAGUAUUUGUUAAAUAAUCUAUCUUUUGGCCCUCAAAUACAUAAUUUUUCAUUUGUCUAUCUGUUUGUUCUCAAAAUAGAAACAGUAACUUUAUAAAGCUUUCAUUUUCUAUUCAUGGUAUUAUUAAAUGCCUGAGGCAGUGAAAAUUUUCAGCAACUUUAACACAAACCCACACAAAGAUACAAACUGAAACUUUAGCAUCAUUUGAUCUACUGCAUGAAUAUUCACAGCAAUGGAAUUUAAAAUAUCAUCCAACAGAAUAUCUGAAUAAGAAAUUAAUCUAUUGCCAUGAAGGUGGUGUAUAUUUAAGUUCUGGAGUAAGUUCAUGCUCACCUUCUUGGUCUGUCCUUUUUUAAACAAUUCUAUUUAGUAGAAAAUAAAUUA